RNAcentral lists this ribosomal RNA (253 nucleotides) under uncultured bacterium. RNAcentral's name for it is "partial 16S ribosomal RNA". It matches the Rfam family "Bacterial small subunit ribosomal RNA", at positions 524 to 776 of the family's 1533-position model. The record is from RNAcentral.
UACGUAGGGCGCAAGCGUUGUCCGGAAUUAUUGGGCGUAAAGAGCUCGUAGGCAGCUUGUCACGUCGGGUGUGAAAGCCCGGGGCUUAACCCCGGGUCUGCAUUCGAUACGGGCUAGCUAGAGUGUGGUAGGGGAGAUCGGAAUUCCUGGUGUAGCGGUGGAAUGCGCAGAUAUCAGGAGGAACACCGGUGGCGAAGGCGGUUCUCUGGGCCUUACCUGACGCUGAUGCGCGAAAGCCAGGGGAGCGAACGGG